GAUGAACGCUGGCGGCGUGCCUAAUACAUGCAAGUCGAGCGAACGGACGAGAAGCUUGCUUCUCUGAUGUUAGCGGCGGACGGGUGAGUAACACGUGGAUAACCUACCUAUAAGACUGGGAUAACUUCGGGAAACCGGAGCUAAUACCGGAUAAUAUUUUGAACCGCAUGGUUCAAAAGUAAAAGACGGUCUUGCUGUCACUUAUAGAUGGAUCCGCGCUGCAUUAGCUAGUUGGUAAGGUAACGGCUUACCAAGGCAACGAUGCAUAGCCGACCUGAGAGGGUGAUCGGCCACACUGGAACUGAGACACGGUCCAGACUCCUACGGGAGGCAGCAGUAGGGAAUCUUCCGCAAUGGGCGAAAGCCUGACGGAGCAACGCCGCGUGAGUGAUGAAGGUCUUCGGAUCGUAAAACUCUGUUAUUAGGGAAGAAUAUAUGUGUAAGUAACUGUGCACAUCUUGACGGUACCUAAUCAGAAAGCCACGGCUAACUACGUGCCAGCAGCCGCGGUAAUACGUAGGUGGCAAGCGUUAUCCGGAAUUAUUGGGCGUAAAGCGCGCGUAGGCGGUUUUUUAAGUCUGAUGUGAAAGCCCACGGCUCAACCGUGGAGGGUCAUUGGAAACUGGAAAACUUGAGUGCAGAAGAGGAAAGUGGAAUUCCAUGUGUAGCGGUGAAAUGCGCAGAGAUAUGGAGGAACACCAGUGGCGAAGGCGACUUUCUGGUCUGUAACUGACGCUGAUGUGCGAAAGCGUGGGGAUCAAACAGGAUUAGAUACCCUGGUAGUCCACGCCGUAAACGAUGAGUGCUAAGUGUUAGGGGGUUUCCGCCCCUUAGUGCUGCAGCUAACGCAUUAAGCACUCCGCCUGGGGAGUACGUCCGCAAGGUUGAAACUCAAAGGAAUUGACGGGGACCCGCACAAGCGGUGGAGCAUGUGGUUUAAUUCGAAGCAACGCGAAGAACCUUACCAAAUCUUGACAUCCUUUGACAACUCUAGAGAUAGAGCCUUCCUCUUCGGGGGACAAAGUGACAGGUGGUGCAUGGUUGUCGUCAGCUCGUGUCGUGAGAUGUUGGGUUAAGUCCCGCAACGAGCGCAACCCUUAAGCUUAGUUGCCAUCAUUAAGUUGGGCACUCUAAGUUGACUGCCGGUGACAAACCGGAGGAAGGUGGGGAUGACGUCAAAUCAUCAUGCCCCUUAUGAUUUGGGCUACACACGUGCUACAAUGGACAAUACAAAGGGCAGCGAAACCGCGAGGUCAAGCAAAUCCCAUAAAGUUGUUCUCAGUUCGGAUUGUAGUCUGCAACUCGACUACAUGAAGCUGGAAUCGCUAGUAAUCGUAGAUCAGCAUGCUACGGUGAAUACGUUCCCGGGUCU
This 1372-nucleotide ribosomal RNA is filed under the name uncultured bacterium. RNAcentral's name for it is "bacterial SSU rRNA". It matches the Rfam family "Bacterial small subunit ribosomal RNA", at positions 28 to 1381 of the family's 1533-position model. The record is from RNAcentral.